Molecule: non-coding RNA, 294 nt
Organism: Paramuricea clavata
Lineage: Eukaryota; Metazoa; Cnidaria; Anthozoa; Malacalcyonacea; Plexauridae
Source: the annotation of a GenBank genome assembly
GCCCUGAUCAAACGAGAACGCAAGUCAUCGCAAGUUUUAACUUGCACUUGCUUGCGCCUCGUUUGACCACCAACUUGCGUUGACUUGCGUUAACUUGCGAAUGAUUUGAGCUGGUUCAAACUUCAUCGCAAGCUUUUUUAAACUUGUGAGCACUUGCGAUACGUUUGAUCAGAAGUGCAAGCUCAAGCAAGUUUUUUGAGACCAGUUUCCAUGGACACCAUAGUCCCUAGUCUAUAAAAUGACCUUUUUCUGGUCUUCGCUUAAUCCAUUCUCUUGUUUUUCCACGUUUCCAAG